This 500-nucleotide ribosomal RNA is filed under the name uncultured bacterium. RNAcentral describes it as "bacterial SSU rRNA". It matches the Rfam family "Bacterial small subunit ribosomal RNA", at positions 355 to 870 of the family's 1533-position model. The record is from RNAcentral.
UGGGGAAUCUUGCGCAAUGGGCGAAAGCCUGACGCAGCGACGCCGCGUGCGGGAUGAAGGCCUUCGGGUCGUAAACCGCUGUCGGGAGGGACGAAAUCAAUGACGGUACCUCCAAAGGAAGCACCGGCUAACUCUGUGCCAGCAGCCGCGGUAAUACAGAGGGUGCGAGCGUUGUCCGGAAUCACUGGGCGUAAAGGGCGCGUAGGCGGCCUGAUAAGUAGGGGGUGAAAUCCUGCGGCUCAACCGCAGGGCUGCCUUCUAGACUGUCAGGCUUGAGCACAGUAGAGGCAGGUGGAAUUCCCGGUGUAGCGGUGGAAUGCGUAGAGAUCGGGAAGAACAUCGGUGGCGAAGGCGGCCUGCUGGGCUGUUGCUGACGCUGAGGCGCGACAGCGUGGGGAGCAAACAGGAUUAGAUACCCUGGUAGUCCACGCCGUAAACGAUGGGUACUAGGCGUCGGGGGAGCGACCCCUCGGUGCCGUCGUUAACACAGUAAGUACCCC